GAGUUUGAUCCUGGCUCAGAAUCAACGCUGGCGGCGCGCCUAACACAUGCAAGUCGAACGAGAAAGCGGGGGCAACUCCGCAAGUACAGUGGCGUACGGGUGAGUAACACGUGGACAAUCUACCUCUUAGUGGGGGAGUAACCCUGGGAAACCGGGGCUAAUACCGCAUAAGCUCUUGCGAGGAAAGCAGCAAUGCGCUGAGAGAGGAGUCCGCGGCCGAUUAGCUAGUUGGUGAGGUAACGGCUCACCAAGGCAAAGAUCGGUAGCCGGCCUGAGAGGGCACACGGCCACACUGGCACUGAAACACGGGCCAGACUCCUACGGGAGGCAGCAGUGGGGAAUCUUGCACAAUGGGGGAAACCCUGAUGCAGCGACGCCGCGUGAGCGAUGAAGCCCUUCGGGGUGUAAAGCUCUUUCGGCAGGGAAGAUUAUGACGGUACCUGCAGAAGCAGCUGCGGCUAACUACGUGCCAGCCGCCGCCGUAAC
RNAcentral lists this ribosomal RNA (486 nucleotides) under uncultured Acidobacteriota bacterium. RNAcentral's name for it is "bacterial SSU rRNA". It matches the Rfam family "Bacterial small subunit ribosomal RNA", at positions 9 to 524 of the family's 1533-position model. The record is from RNAcentral. Lineage: Bacteria; Pseudomonadati; Acidobacteriota.